UAAAUUCAAGGAUCUCUACCGGU
Molecule: non-coding RNA, 23 nt
Filed under: Cricetulus griseus (Chinese hamster)
Lineage: Eukaryota; Metazoa; Chordata; Mammalia; Rodentia; Cricetidae
Source: RNAcentral